This 445-nucleotide ribosomal RNA is filed under the name uncultured bacterium. Its description in RNAcentral is "partial 16S ribosomal RNA". It matches the Rfam family "Bacterial small subunit ribosomal RNA", at positions 354 to 796 of the family's 1533-position model. The record is from RNAcentral.
GUGAGGAAUAUUGGACAAUGGAUGGAAAUCUGAUCCAGCCAUGCCGCGUGCAGGAAGACGGCCCUAUGGGUUGUAAACUGCUUUUAUACGGGAGCAAUAAGGUCUAUGCAUAGAUUGAUGAGAGUACCGUAUGAAUAAGCAUCGGCUAACUCCGUGCCAGCAGCCGCGGUAAUACGGAGGAUGCGAGCGUUAUCCGGAUUUACUGGGUUUAAAGGGUGCGUAGGCGGCUUUGUAAGUCAGCGGUGAAAUUUUGCAGCUUAACUGUAAAAGCGCCGUUGAUACUGUGAAGCUAGGAUUUGGUUGCUGUGGGCGGAAUGUGUGGUGUAGCGGUGAAAUGCAUAGAGAUCACACAGAAUAUCGAUUGCGAAGGCAGCUCACAAAGCCAAUAUUGACGCUGAGGCACGAAAGUGUGGGGAUCAAACAGGAUUAGAAACCCUGGUAGUCC